AGACGUCUACAUUAGAUACCCGGGUAGUCCCAGCCGUAAACUAUGCGCGUUAGGUGUAUCGGUGACCACGAGUUACCGAGGUGCCGAAGGGAAACCGUGAAACGUGCCGCCUGGGAAGUACGGUCGCAAGGCUGAAACUUAAAGGAAUUGGCGGGGGAGCACCACAACAGGUGGAGCCUGCGGUUUAAUUGGACUCAACGCCGGACAACUCACCGGGGACGACAGCAAUAUGUAGGCCAGGCUGAAGACCUUGCCUGAAUCGCUG
This 265-nucleotide ribosomal RNA is filed under the name uncultured archaeon. RNAcentral describes it as "partial 16S ribosomal RNA". It matches the Rfam family "Archaeal small subunit ribosomal RNA", at positions 717 to 982 of the family's 1478-position model. The record is from RNAcentral.